This 535-nucleotide ribosomal RNA is filed under the name uncultured Lactobacillus sp. RNAcentral's name for it is "bacterial SSU rRNA". It matches the Rfam family "Bacterial small subunit ribosomal RNA", at positions 505 to 1038 of the family's 1533-position model. Lineage: Bacteria; Bacillati; Bacillota; Bacilli; Lactobacillales; Lactobacillaceae. The record is from RNAcentral.
GUACCAGCAGCGGCGGUAAUACGUAGGUGGCAAGCGUUGUCCGGAUUUAUUGGGCGUAAAGGGAACGCAGGCGGUCUUUUAAGUCUGAUGUGAAAGCCUUCGGCUUAACCGAAGUCGUGCAUUGGAAACUGGGAGACUUGAGUGCAGAAGAGGAGAGUGGAACUCCAUGUGUAGCGGUGAAAUGCGUAGAUAUAUGGAAGAACACCAGUGGCGAAAGCGGCUCUCUGGUCUGUAACUGACGCUGGGGUUCGAAAGCGUGGGUAGCAAACAGGAUUAGAUACCCUGGUAGUCCACGCUGUAAACGAUGAAUGCUAAGUGUUGGAGGGUUUCCGCCCUUCAGUGCCGCAGCAAACGCAUUAAGCAUUCCGCCUGGGGAGUACGACCGCAAGGUUGAAACUCAAAGGAAUUGACGGGGGCCCGCACAAGCGGUGGAGCAUGUGGUUUAAUUCGAAGCAACGCGAAGAACCUUACCAGGUCUUGACAUCUUCUGAUAACCUAAGAGAUUAGGUGUUCCCUUCGGGGACAGAAUGACAGG